AUUGCAGGCUGCAACCCGCCUGCAUGAAGUCGGAAUUGCUAGUAAUCGUAGGUCAGCAUACUACGGUGAAUACGUUCCCGGGCCUUGUACACACCCGCCCGUCAAACCAUGAGAGUUGGCAACACCCGAAGUCGGUAGUCUAACCGCAAGGAGGACGCCGCCGAAGGUGGGGUUGAUGAUUAGGGUUAAGUCGUAACAAGGUACC
Molecule: ribosomal RNA, 205 nt
Filed under: uncultured bacterium
Lineage: Bacteria
Description: partial 16S ribosomal RNA
Rfam family: Bacterial small subunit ribosomal RNA
Source: RNAcentral